GAUGAACGCUGGCGGCGUGCCUAAUACAUGCAAGUCGAGCGAACAGACGAGGGGCUUGCUCCUUUGACGUUAGCGGCGGACGGGUGAGUAACACGUAGGUAACCUACCUAUAAGACUGGGAUAACUUCGGGAAACCGGAGCUAAUACCGGAUAAUAUUUCGAACCGCAUGGUUCGAUAGUGAAAGAUGGCUUUGCUAUCACUUAUAGAUGGACCUGCGCCGUAUUAGCUAGUUGGUAAGGUAACGGCUUACCAAGGCAACGAUACGUAGCCGACCUCAGAGGGUGAUUGGCCACACUGGAAGUGAGGCACGGUACAGACUCCGACGGGAGGCAGCGGUCGGGAAUCCUACGCAAUGGGCGAAAGCCUGACGGUGCAACGCCGCGUGAGUGCUGAACGUCUUAGGAUCGGUAAACUCUGUUAGUAGGGGAGAACAAAAGCGCAAGUAACUGUGCACGUCUUGACGGUACCUAAACAAGAAGCCACGGCUAACUACGUG
RNAcentral lists this ribosomal RNA (497 nucleotides) under uncultured bacterium. RNAcentral describes it as "partial 16S ribosomal RNA". It matches the Rfam family "Bacterial small subunit ribosomal RNA", at positions 28 to 507 of the family's 1533-position model. The record is from RNAcentral.